UGCCCCAGUAACGGCGAGUGAAGCGGCAACAGCUCAAAUUUGAAAUCUGGCUCUCGGGCCCGAGUUGUAAUUUGUAGAGGAUGCUUUUGGUGAGGUGCCUUCCGAGUUCCCUGGAACGGGACGCCAUAGAGGGUGAGAGCCCCGUCUGGUUGGACACCGAUCCUCUGUAAAGCUCCUUCGACGAGUCGAGUAGUUUGGGAAUGCUGCUCUAAAUGGGAGGUAUAUGUCUUCUAAAGCUAAAUACCGGCCAGAGACCGAUAGCGCACAAGUAGAGUGAUCGAAAGAUGAAAAGAACUUUGAAAAGAGAGUUAAACAGUACGUGAAAUUGUUGAAAGGGAAGCGCUUGUGACCAGACUUGGGCUUGGUUGAUCAUCCGGGGUUCUCCCCGGUGCACUCUUCCGGCUCAGGCCAGCAUCAGUUCGCCCUGGGGGAUAAAGGCUUCGGGAAUGUGGCUCUCUCCGGGGAGUGUUAUAGCCCGCUGCGUAAUACCCUGUGGCGGACUGAGGUUCGCGCAUUCGCAAGGAUGCUGGCGUAAUGGUCAUCAGUGACCCGUCUUGAAACACGGACCAAGGAGUCGUCUUCGUAUGCGAGUGUUCGGGUGUCAAACCCCUACGCGAAAUGAAAGUGAACGCAGGUGAGAGCUUCGGCGCAUCAUCGACCGAUCCUGAUGUUAUCGGAUGGAUUUGAGUAAGAGCAUACGGGGCCGGACCCGAAAGAAGGUGAACUAUGCCUGUGUAGGGUGAAGCCAGAGGAAACUCUGGUGGAGGCUCGCAGCGGUUCUGACGUGCAAAUCGAUCGUCAAACAUGGGCAUG
Molecule: ribosomal RNA, 813 nt
Filed under: Fusarium solani
Lineage: Eukaryota; Fungi; Ascomycota; Sordariomycetes; Hypocreales; Nectriaceae
Description: eukaryotic LSU rRNA
Rfam family: Eukaryotic large subunit ribosomal RNA
Source: RNAcentral